This 423-nucleotide long non-coding RNA is filed under the name Phoenix dactylifera (date palm). Its description in RNAcentral is "long non-coding RNA (PDAC_LNC009901)". Lineage: Eukaryota; Viridiplantae; Streptophyta; Magnoliopsida; Arecales; Arecaceae. The record is from RNAcentral.
UCAAAGUGAAUGCAUAUUAGAAAAUUGCAAUUCCAAAACAUGCACCAUACAAGAAUCCUAUCAACAACCUCAGACUUGUUCACCCAUUCCAAUAAACAAAUUUAUUUGAUGACCAAAUUUAUUCUAUCCCAACACAUUUAGUAGGAUUAACCACAUGAGUCACAGUUGCAAGCUUCGGGCAUGAAGGCACAGGUGCCAAAGGGCUUGCUAGGAAUGUUGCAUUUGAUGCGAUAGCAACACUGCAUUGAUAAGCAAUUCUUGUGGUCUUUGGUAGUACAGCACUCACACGUCGCGCAUUUACUGAAGGGGGGGUUUUGGGCAUUGACAUCCAUGUUGGCGAGUCUAUCAAUGGUGUGGUACUCAACCAUGCUAGUGGGUAGAUAUUGGAUGGUCGGUUGUGGCUUGGAGGCAGCAACAUCUCCU